Molecule: ribosomal RNA, 500 nt
Filed under: uncultured bacterium
Lineage: Bacteria
Description: partial 16S ribosomal RNA
Rfam family: Bacterial small subunit ribosomal RNA
Source: RNAcentral
AUUGAACGCUGGCGGAAUGCUUUACACAUGCAAGUCGAACGGCAGCACGGACUUCGGUCUGGUGGCGAGUGGCGAACGGGUGAGUAAUAUAUCGGAACGUGCCCAGUCGUGGGGGAUAACGUAGUGAAAAUUACGCUAAUACCGCAUACGAUCUAUGGAUGAAAGCGGGGGAUCGCAAGACCUCGCGCGAUUGGAGCGGCCGAUAUCAGUUUAGGUAGUUGGUGAGGUAAAGGCUCACCAAGCCGACGAUCUGUAGCGGGUCUGAGAGGACAACCGGCCCCACUGGAACUGCGACACGUGCCAGACUCCUACGGGAGGCAGCAGUGGGGAAUUUUGGACAAUGGACGCAAGUCUGAUCCAGCAAUUCCGCGUGCAGGACGAAGGCCUUCGGGUUGUAAAAUGCUUUUGUACAGAACGAAAAGAUCUCUAUUAAUACUAGGGGCUCAUGACGGUACUGUAAGAGUAAGCACCGGCUAACUACGUGCCAGCCGCCGCCGUAA